CUCGCUUCCGGCCUUUUGGCCAAGAUCAAGUGUAGUAUCUGUUCUUAUCAGUUUAAUAUCUGAUAUGUCUCCUAUCUGGGGACCAUAUAUUAAAUUGCUUUUUGAAACACGGAGAUGGAGUAGGGGCUUGCUCCGUCGUCCUGACAUGAGGACGACGUGAACAACACAAGUCUCAUAUACAGA
Molecule: small nuclear RNA, 183 nt
Organism: Betta splendens (Siamese fighting fish)
Lineage: Eukaryota; Metazoa; Chordata; Actinopteri; Anabantiformes; Osphronemidae
Gene: U2
Rfam family: U2 spliceosomal RNA
About the family: U2 is a small nuclear RNA (snRNA) component of the spliceosome (involved in pre-mRNA splicing). Complementary binding between U2 snRNA (in an area lying towards the 5' end but 3' to hairpin I) and the branchpoint sequence (BPS) of the intron results the bulging out of an unpaired adenosine, on the BPS, which initiates a nucleophilic attack at the intronic 5' splice site, thus starting the first of two transesterification reactions that mediate splicing.
Source: Ensembl